GAUGAACGCUGGCGGCGUGCCUAAUACAUGCAAGUCGAGCGAACAGACGAGGAGCUUGCUCCUCUGACGUUAGCGGCGGACGGUGAGUAACACGUGGAUAACCUACCUAUAAGACUGGGAUAACUUCGGGAAACCGGAGCUAAUACCGGAUAAUAUAUUGAACCGCAUGGUUCAAUAGUGAAAGACGGUUUUGCUGUCACUUAUAGAUGGAUCCGCGCCGCAUUAGCUAGUUGGUAAGGUAACGGCUUACCAAGGCAACGAUGCGUAGCCGACCUGAGAGGGUGAUCGGCCACACUGGAACUGAGACACGGUCCAGACUCCUACGGGAGGCAGCAGUAGGGAAUCUUCCGCAAAGGGCGAAAGCCUGACGGAGCAACGCCGCGUGAGUGAUGAAGGUCUUCGGAUCGUAAAACUCUGUUAUUAGGGAAGAACAAAUGUGUAAGUAACUAUGCACGUCUUGACGGUACCUAAUCAGAAAGCCACGGCUAACUACGUG
RNAcentral lists this ribosomal RNA (496 nucleotides) under uncultured bacterium. Its description in RNAcentral is "partial 16S ribosomal RNA". It matches the Rfam family "Bacterial small subunit ribosomal RNA", at positions 28 to 507 of the family's 1533-position model. The record is from RNAcentral.